GAAAGGUGAAAAGAACCCCGGGAGGGGAGUGAAAUAGAACCUGAAACCGUGUGCCUACAACCGGUCAAAGCCCCUUAUGAGGGUGAUGACGUGCUUUUUGUAGAACGAGCCAACGAGUUACGGUAUGUAGCAAGGUUAAGUACUUAAGGUACGGAGCCGAAGGGAAACCGAGUCUUAAUAGGGCGACUAGUUGCAUGCCGUAGACCCGAAACCGGGUGACCUAUCCAUGGCCAGGUUGAAGCGAGGGUAAAACCUCGUGGAGGACCGAACCACGUUGCUGUUGAAAAAGCAUGGGAUGAGCUGUGGAUAGCGGAGAAAUUCCAAUCGAACUCGGAGAUAGCUGGUUCUCCCCGAAAUAGCUUUAGGGCUAGCGUCGGAUAUGUGUAGUGGAGGUAGAGCACUGAAUGGGCUAGGGGGCAUAUCGCUUACCGAACCUUAUCAAACUCCGAAUGCCAUAUACAUUUAGUCCGGCAGUCAGACUACGAAUGAUAAGAUCCGUGGUCAAAAGGGAAACAGCCCAGAUCGUCAGCUAAGGUCCCAAAGUGUAAGUUAAGUGGAAAAGGAUGUGGGAUUUCUAAGACAACUAGGAUGUUGGCUUAGAAGCAGCCACUCAUUUAAAGAGUGCGUAAUAGCUCACUAGUCGAGAGAUCCUGCGCCGAAAAUGUCCGGGGCUAAAACUUACCACCGAAGCUACGGGCUUGCGUAAGCAAGCGGUAGGGGAGCGUCGUAAUCGGGCUGAAGUCGUACCGUAAGGAGCGGUGGACUGAUUACGAGUGAGAAUGUUGGCAUUAGUAGCGAGAUGUAGGUGAGAAUCCUACAGGCCGAAUAUCUAAGGUUUCCUCAGGAAGGCUCGUCCGCUGAGGGUUAGUCGGGACCUAAGCCGAGGCCGAAAGGCGUAGGCGAUGGACAACAGGUUGAUAUUCCUGUACCACUACCAUCGUUAUUAUCGAGGGUGUGACGGAGAAGGAUAGUGUGUGCUAGCGAUUGGAAAUGCUAGUCUAAGCGUUUAGGCAGUUACGGUAGGCAAAUCCGCUGUAAUGUUAAUGCUGAGGCGUGAUGGGGAAGGCCCUUGAGGCUGAAGUACAUGAUUCCAUGCUUCCAAGAAAAGCAUCUAGAGAGAGAAGUAGUGCCCGUACCGCAAACCGACACAGGUAGAUGAGGAGAGAAUCCUAAGGCCGGCGGAAGAAUUGCAGUUAAGGAACUAGGCAAAUUGACCCCGUAAGUUAGCGAGAAGGGGUGCCUACGAGAGUAGGCCGCAGAGAAUAGGCCCAAGCAACUGUUUAGCAAAAACACAGGUCUCUGCUAAAGCGCAAGCUGAUGUAUAGGGGCUGACGCCUGCCCGGUGCUGGAAGGUUAAGGGGAACACUUAGCGCAAGCGAAGGUGUGAACUUAAGCCCCAGUAAACGGCGGCCGUAACUAUAACGGUCCUAAGGUAGCGAAAUUCCUUGUCAGGUAAGUUCUGACCCGC
Molecule: ribosomal RNA, 1468 nt
Filed under: human gut metagenome
Description: bacterial LSU rRNA
Rfam family: Bacterial large subunit ribosomal RNA
Source: RNAcentral